This 253-nucleotide ribosomal RNA is filed under the name uncultured bacterium. RNAcentral's name for it is "partial 16S ribosomal RNA". It matches the Rfam family "Bacterial small subunit ribosomal RNA", at positions 524 to 776 of the family's 1533-position model. The record is from RNAcentral.
UACGAAGGGGGCUAGCGUUGCUCGGAAUCACUGGGCGUAAAGGGUGCGUAGGCGGAUUGUUAAGUCAGGGGUGAAAUCCUGGAGCUCAACUCCAGAACUGCCUUUGAUACUGGCGAUCUUGAGUCCGGGAGAGGUGAGUGGAACUCCGAGUGUAGAGGUGAAAUUCGUAGAUAUUCGCAAGAACACCAGUGGCGAAGGCGGCUCACUGGCCCGGUACUGACGCUGAGGUGCGAAAGCGUGGGGAGCAAACAGG